Xenia sp. Carnegie-2017 is the source of this 624-nucleotide long non-coding RNA. RefSeq lists it as uncharacterized. The record is from RefSeq and is a predicted model, not a curated record. The transcript has 4 exons. NCBI's taxonomy places the organism in Eukaryota, Metazoa, Cnidaria, Anthozoa, Malacalcyonacea, Xeniidae.
AGUUGUGAGUCAUUUGUAACGCUGUUGAAUUUGAGAAGAAAAAUCGUAGAUUUCCGGUUUGUCUUGGAAAGAGAAUCUUUAUAGAAGUUGCUAAGCAAGAUAAAGAAGCCUUUAACGCCCUCAAAAUAACUUUUUACAAAACGCAACGCAUACACUGGAUUCUACUUCAUCAUUGGUCAAUUCACAAAGAAGUCACGUGAGAUAGGCGUUGGAACUCAGAGCAUUCAGUUCGUGUUGUAUUUCAAAGUGUUGGAUUAUAGGAAAAUUUUUCUGUCAGAAAUUACAGAAAUUACAGAGAGUUCUGACAUAGUUCUCGUAGAAGAGGAAGACGAAUCUUCGGCGAAUGUGAACAAGGAACUACUAUCUGGUAUCACGCUACUAAAUGCGAAUAUGAUUGCUGUUUGCGAAUCGCUCAAGAAAUUUCAACAUGUCUACCGGCUGACAGGAAUGAUUUUACUAGCCAAGAUAUUAGAUACCGAUAAAUAUUUAGACAAAAGUGAAGUUGAAGUAACCUUUGGAUUUAUUCACUAUUCAUUCAUUAUGUGUGCCGUUCAACUAUCGCUACAUUAGGGAAUUUAUUGCUUAAAGAACUGAUUGCAAAGGCUCUAAAGAAAAUGAUCCACA